Molecule: long non-coding RNA, 1826 nt
Organism: Piliocolobus tephrosceles (Ugandan red Colobus)
Lineage: Eukaryota; Metazoa; Chordata; Mammalia; Primates; Cercopithecidae
Exons: 2
Source: RefSeq, a predicted model, not a curated record
UUCACCAUAUUGGUCAGGCUGGUCUCGAACUCCUGACCUCAGGUGAUCUGCCCAUCUCGGCCUCCCAAAGUGCUGGGAUUACAGGUGUGAGCAACUGCGCCCAGCCACUAAAUCUCUUCUAAAUCCAAAAUUCUAAUAAGACCUUCAAAGCUCUGUGUGAUCUGGUGAACUUCUGAUGUGAUAGUGAAGUUCCCACUUAAAGUUUAAAAAGCGCUUCAGUCUGUCCCCACCUACCUCUCCAGCUUCAUUUCAACCUAUUCUCCCUCUUAUUCACUGUACUCUAAUUUUCUUUUAGUUUCUAGAAAAUUCAAGACACUUCAAGGUCUUCCCAGAUGUCCUCUUUGACCUAAUGUUCCAUUACAGGUUCUUAUUACGUGUUAUGUAAACUCCCUCUCCUUGUCAUACCUCAGCCAACAUCAUUAUAUUGUGCAGUCACUCAGACUGAGAACAACAUAGCACUUCUUCAAAACUAUAAUUACUUGUUUGAAAUUAUUUAAUUCCAGGAACCUUAUCAAUCAUCAUCAUCAUGCCAGCGUCUGGCACACUGUAUUCAAUGUAUAUUUGUUGAGUAGACAUGAUGCAUGGGAUCGCCUGCACAUGAAACAGCAGGAACCAUUUGGGAAAACCUGAAAUUUAAACUGCUUUAGUCAACUUUGUCUGUUGUGAUCAUUUUCUUUUCUUAGCUCAGUGAGCUUUCUGUUAGUGUGCCAAGCUGCCAUCCAACUUUCUUGAGCAUUUUUUCUCGUGGGAAAUGAUCAAGUUUUGAUAGUAGAAAGUGCUUCUUUCCAAGACUUUCUCGAGGCCAUCUUCCUGUGGGCAUCAUGCUUCUGAUGUUACACAGCUGAUAUUUUCAUAUGAGCUACAUUUUUAGACUACAAAGAUGCUUAUUCGGGUGAGAGACCAUUUCUUUGAACUGUAAGUGAUUCAUUUGAUUUUCUUUUUAAUAGUCCUUGUUUUUCUUCUUCUAGCCUUUUUAAGGCAACAUUUAACAGCAUCAGUGUAUUUCUUCAAAUUGUUUUUUGAUUUACAGCCUAGAAGUUCUCAAUUUUCUGAUUUGUCUUUGUCUGAUUUCAAGUUGCCGUCACCCAUGUAAUUUUUGCUAAAGAAGACAGGCAAGUAUAUCACCUUCAAUUUUAAAGGGCUCUCUUUAUCAUUUACAACCUCUUUAUGUUUUCAAGUUGUCAAGCAUUUUUUUUCCUUCGUUUCUCACACUUUGUAUUCCAUUUCACAGCUUCUUGGGAUAGCGCUUUUAGAUUUUCCUAAAAAUGAGUGUUUUCAUCCAAACGAUCCAUUAUUUCCUUCUGAAAGUUCUUCUGAGACACUUUGAAGACGUUUUUGGUACCAGUUACUUGAGAUUGAGGGAUUUCGAUGCAUCGUCAAGUAACUGUUGAACCAUGAAAUGAAAGUUUAGAGACUCCCUUCUGUUCUUUUUUUGAGAAGGCCUACAAUAUUCUCAAGUGACAAGUAAACCUGUCCAGAUAUUUACUAAAUGCUAAACUUAACAUUUGUAACUUCAGACCAGAGAUAACUUGAAGGCUUCAUUGAUUUGUAUAAUCAGUCUAAAUUUUCACUGACUUUAACCUGGGCAGAAAAUCUUUUGACUAGCUCUUUUUCCCUCCUUAAAGUAUGCCUGCUCUUUACUAUAAAAACAAUCAGAGAGACCAUAUCAGAACCUCACAGGGAAAUGCAUGGAGACUUAAGCCUUGUCUUAAGCAUCAGUCACCACCACUGAGGGCUGGACAGGAAGGGGAACCCCAGGUUCUAUAAAACAGUGCUCUCUAACUUUGCUCACCAUGCAAAUAAAGUACUAUUAUUUGUACAAUGAA